Molecule: long non-coding RNA, 622 nt
Organism: Psammomys obesus (fat sand rat)
Lineage: Eukaryota; Metazoa; Chordata; Mammalia; Rodentia; Muridae
Exons: 3
Source: RefSeq, a predicted model, not a curated record
GCACAGGUGGUGAGCCUCCGCUAACUUAAGAACUCAUCCUAUUCUCAAUACAGAUUUCAACUCCAGCAACCAGUGGGAAAAUCAGCAUUAGCUCCUUGUGUAUUCUAAACUUGCCGGCAUCAUGAGCACAUCAGCUGGAGCCAUACAGAGAUAAUGGCAGCCAUACCAUGAACAUGCUCCUUGGGGCCAUUUUGAAUGGAGAAACAAGUCAGCUCAGUUAUGGUCACAUCCAUUUCUGAACAUCUCUCCUCCUUGCUUGGGCAAGGUAGGAAGGGGUGGCAUAAAAGCAGAAACUCAGUUCUGGCUGCCAACUUAAAUGCUCAGUUCGGCCAUGCAGUUAGCAAGUUAGCAGCCAUGGCCACCUUUGAGAGCAGAUCAGUGGACCAGCACACUUUUGAAGUCCUGAACAGCCACCAUGUUGUCAUCUUGAAGAGUAUGAUUCUUCCCAGGUAGGAUGUGGCAUCAUUUGUUUGCCCAUCAUUUCCUUGCCUGCCAGGUCAAGCGAGAUAUCUUCAGGAACCAGCAAUGAAUCAUGACUGGGGGAAGGUCCUUCCCCCGAAGGAGCCAUUUAAACAUGUUGCUUCUAACUGCUUCUUUUCAUAAAAGUGCAAUACCACCAGUA